UCUCCGUUGGUGAACCAGCGGAGGGAUCAUUACAGAGUCUAGCGACUCCCAAACCACUGUUAACGCUACCCCGUCGUUGCCUCGGCGGGCCCCGCGCCCGCCGAAGGCUCCAAGACUAUACCUGUCUCUAGUGGCACUUCUGAGCAAACUUCCAAACAGUCAAAACUUUCAACAACGGAUCUCUUGGUUCUG
RNAcentral lists this unclassified non-coding RNA (192 nucleotides) under soil metagenome. RNAcentral's name for it is "partial contains small subunit ribosomal RNA, internal transcribed spacer 1, and 5.8S ribosomal RNA". The record is from RNAcentral.